GGUGGCUCAGUGGUUGAGUGCUUGUCUUGCAUGCAUGAGGCUCUGGGUUCGAUUCCUCAGCACCA
RNAcentral lists this transfer RNA (65 nucleotides) under Dipodomys ordii (Ord's kangaroo rat). It matches the Rfam family "tRNA". Rfam says of the family: Transfer RNA (tRNA) molecules are approximately 80 nucleotides in length. The record is from Rfam by way of RNAcentral. Lineage: Eukaryota; Metazoa; Chordata; Mammalia; Rodentia; Heteromyidae.